RNAcentral lists this long non-coding RNA (228 nucleotides) under Nicotiana benthamiana. RNAcentral describes it as "long non-coding RNA (NBEN_LNC037687)". The record is from RNAcentral. Lineage: Eukaryota; Viridiplantae; Streptophyta; Magnoliopsida; Solanales; Solanaceae.
CCAAAUAGACCCCCGGCAUCCUUCCCUCCUAAAAUUUUCCAUCUUGCUAUUGGGGAGACUCGAACUCACAACCUCUCGGUUGGAAGUAGGAUAAAAAUUCAGUAUAAUAGAUUCUAUUAUAAUUCGUAGCGAACAGAAUUUAGAGGUUAAAAGUAUGUGGUUAAAGAUUCUCUAAAAUCACAGGCAGUUAGUGGCGCUCAAACUUUCAUGAUACAUUUUGGAACUAAG